This 455-nucleotide ribosomal RNA is filed under the name uncultured Tepidiphilus sp. RNAcentral's name for it is "bacterial SSU rRNA". It matches the Rfam family "Bacterial small subunit ribosomal RNA", at positions 922 to 1382 of the family's 1533-position model. Lineage: Bacteria; Pseudomonadati; Pseudomonadota; Hydrogenophilia; Hydrogenophilales; Hydrogenophilaceae. The record is from RNAcentral.
GGCACAAGCGGUGGAUGAUGUGGAUUAAUUCGAUGCAACGCGAAGAACCUUACUACCCUUGACAUGUCCGGAACUUGCCAGAGAUGGCUUGGUGCCCGAAAGGGAAUCGGAACACAGGUGCUGCAUGGCUGUCGUCAGCUCGUGUCGUGAGAUGUUGGGUUAAGUCCCGCAACGAGCGCAACCCUUAUCAUUAGUUGCUACGCAAGGGCACUCUAAUGAGACUGCCGGUGACAAACCGGAGGAAGGUGGGGAUGACGUCAAGUCCUCAUGGCCCUUAUGACCAGGGCUACACACGUGCUACAAUGGCCGGUACAAAGAGUUGCGAUACCGCGAGGUGGAGCUAAUCUCAUAAAGCCGGUCUCAGUUCGGAUUGGAGUCUGCAACUCGACUCCAUGAAGUUGGAAUCGCUAGUAAUCGCGGAUCAGCACGCCGCGGUGAAUACGUUCCCGGGCCUU